CAGCACCUCAAGUGGUCAGGAUGAUUAUUGGGCCUAAAGCAUCCGUAGCCGGCGCUGUAAGUUUUCGGUUAAAUCUGUACGCUCAACGUACAGGCUGCCGGGAAUACUGCAGCGCUAGGGAGUGGGAGAGGUAGACGGUACUCGGUAGGAAGGGGUAAAAUCCUUUGAUCUAUUGAUGACCACCUGUGGCGAAGGCGGUCUACCAGAACACGUCCGACGGUGAGGGAUGAAAGCUGGGGGAACAAACCGGAUUAGAUACCCGUGUAGUCC
This 270-nucleotide ribosomal RNA is filed under the name uncultured archaeon. RNAcentral's name for it is "partial 16S ribosomal RNA". It matches the Rfam family "Archaeal small subunit ribosomal RNA", at positions 477 to 747 of the family's 1478-position model. The record is from RNAcentral.